RNAcentral lists this long non-coding RNA (267 nucleotides) under Olea europaea (common olive). Its description in RNAcentral is "long non-coding RNA (OEUR_LNC008067)". The record is from RNAcentral. Lineage: Eukaryota; Viridiplantae; Streptophyta; Magnoliopsida; Lamiales; Oleaceae.
CCUGAACAAGGGCAUACCUCUGAACAAGAGGAAGAUGUCGUAAUGGAAGAGGCCCCUGAACAAGGACACCCUCUUGAUGAGUUAGACCCCCGAAUAAUCGAUUAUGAACCAAAUGCGACCCCAAUGGAAGAACUGGAAACUUUCCCAGUCAAUCCAGAAGACCCCAAUCAAGUCUUGUGCAUAGGAAAGUCAUUAUCGCCUGAAGCAAAAAUUGAGAUGAUACGAUUCCUGAAAGAAAACCUGGAUGUCUUCGCAUGGAAACAUGAG